Molecule: ribosomal RNA, 255 nt
Filed under: Salmonella enterica subsp. enterica serovar Infantis
Lineage: Bacteria; Pseudomonadati; Pseudomonadota; Gammaproteobacteria; Enterobacterales; Enterobacteriaceae
Also listed under: 38 other names
Description: partial 23S ribosomal RNA
Rfam family: Bacterial large subunit ribosomal RNA
Source: RNAcentral
CCCGUACUUGGUGUUACUGCGAAGGGGGGACGGAGAAGGCUAUGUUGGCCGGGCGACGGUUGUCCCGGUUUAAGCGUGUAGGUGUGUGUUCCAGGUAAAUCCGGUUCACUUUAACACUGAGGCGUGAUGACGAGGCACUACGGUGCUGAAGCAACAAAUGCCCUGCUUCCAGGAAAAGCCUCUAAGCAUCAGGUAACAUCAAAUCGUACCCCAAACCGACACAGGUGGUCAGGUAGAGAAUACCAAGGCGCUUGA